RNAcentral lists this ribosomal RNA (437 nucleotides) under uncultured bacterium. RNAcentral describes it as "bacterial SSU rRNA". It matches the Rfam family "Bacterial small subunit ribosomal RNA", at positions 368 to 793 of the family's 1533-position model. The record is from RNAcentral.
ACAAUGGACGAAAGUCUGAUGGAGCAACGCCGCGUGAGUGAAGAAGGGUUUCGGCUCGGUAAAAACUCUGUUGUUUAAAGAAGAACAUAUCUGAGAGUAACUGUUCAGGUAUUGACGGUAUUUAACCAGAAAGCCACGGCUAACUACGUGCCAGCAGCCGCGGUAAUACGUAGGUGGCAAGCGUUGUCCGGAUUUAUUGGGCGUAAAGCGAGCGCAGGCGGUUUUUAAGUUCUGAUGUGAAAGCCUUCGGCUCAACCGAAGAAGUGCAUCGGAAACUAGGGAAACCUGAGUGCAGAAGAGGACAGUGGAACUCCAUGUGUAGCGGUGAAAUGCGUAGAUAUAUGGAAGAACACCAGUGGCGAAGGCGGCUGUCUGGUCUGUAACUGACGCUGAGGCUCGAAAGUAUGGGUAGCAAACAGGAUUAGAUACCCUGGUAG